This 206-nucleotide ribosomal RNA is filed under the name uncultured bacterium. RNAcentral's name for it is "partial 16S ribosomal RNA". It matches the Rfam family "Bacterial small subunit ribosomal RNA", at positions 524 to 727 of the family's 1533-position model. The record is from RNAcentral.
GACGGAGGGUGCAAGCGUUGUUCGGAAUUACUGGGCGUAAAGCGCGGGCAGGUGGCCCUUUAAGUCCUUUGUGAAACUCCGGAGCUCAACUCCGGACGUGCAUAGGAUACUGGAGGGCUAGAGACUGGUAGAGGCGAGCGGAAUUCCUGGUGUAGCGGUGGAAAUGCGUCGAUAUCAGGAAGAACACCCGGUGGCGAAGGCGGCUC